CCUGUUUGGUGGGCGUGUCUCAGGUGUUACCCAAUCAGCUGUGUAAAGUUUGUAAGCACAAAGGUGUUAAAAAGGCAGGAAAAUGCCAUGCGUUUGCGUACACAACAGGGUGUCCAGGGGACCACCGUUUCCGUUGAAAAAAACGUUUUGAUACGUUUUGUCUGGUCUGAACUCGCCCCAGGUUGUUCAAGGCACCACCGUUUCCGUAGAAAUUUACGUUUUGUUGGGGAUGAACUCGGCUCUGAUUUCCAGUCGCCAUCAUGCCUGCCAAACUAGGGACCCACUGCUCGGCCUCAUGCAUGCAUGCUGUCAGAGACUCCCCUGCCUUCUCAGGAGUGGAUGCAUAGCUGGAGAUACCUGGACCUGCAAGUUGAGCAAAAUGUCAAGAGGAGGUUGAGAUUUGUCAGCAUGACAACAGUUGCUACUUUCUGCUCCCAUAUCAUCCUCCAGAAAUCUGCAACAGUUUCUUCUUUUGGACCUGUAAGCCAAAGGCAUUUGUACAGAACACAGAAGACUCUGCCUUAUGACCACCUGUUACUCCAACCUCCAGGCUGAGAAGGGGGGAUGCUUACAUUGUACUCCUCCCUGAAGAGCUUGCCAUCAUCAGCAGAGCGGAGCCUGUACUCCUCCUCGAGGUGGUCCACUGGGAUGGGGAAGUAGGUCUUAGAGGCUGAAGGGGAUCUGGGCAGAAGAACCACCGUCUGUUGCUCUGUGUGGAGAACAGUCCACUGUCACAGCCUGGCUGCUUGUUCUCUUCUCACUAAGCAUGAGAGGGAGUCAGCUAGAAGCACUUCCUGACUGGGCUCCGCCUCAAUGACUACAGGAGGAAGUGUUUUUCACCCAGAGCUCUGCCACAGAGCCUGGCUCACAGCCAGUUAGCCAGGCCCUGGACAGGGGUGAGGUGGGUGAGUCCUUGCAGGGGGACAGAUUUUACCUGAGGAAGUACCAGGCUAUCAGUGCAACGAUGAGCAGCAGCAGGGAUAGGACCAGCACGGUGGGGAGGAUGUGGUGGCUGGGGACUGUAACGUCUUCUGAGGAAGAAGGAGAGGCAGAGCCGGAGUUCAGGGAGCACCGUCAACAAAGAAGCAGGAAGAGAGGCCAAGGCUGACAAUAUAUGUGCAUAUAUCAGAGUGUGCAAAUGCUUGGCUGAAUUUAUGUGUUUGAGCCAUGUGUAUAUUGCAUGAACUGAUUAAACAAAAUCAAUACUUGGCACAGCAUCACACCUCCCAUGUUCUCUUCUGGC
Molecule: long non-coding RNA, 1243 nt
Organism: Micropterus dolomieu (smallmouth bass)
Lineage: Eukaryota; Metazoa; Chordata; Actinopteri; Centrarchiformes; Centrarchidae
Exons: 5
Source: RefSeq, a predicted model, not a curated record